CAGAAGCAGGACUUGAAGCCCAGUCUGCCUGUGUCCAAGAGGGGAGGAAGAUGCCUUUCCACAGAUGAAGAGGGAUGCAGGACUUUCCAAGAACAGGGGCUAUACCUUAUACGUCAUGGUAUCUCACGGGGAAACUUGUACUCACAGCUGCUCCUUAAAUAGAACAGAACUGAAGAACUGGGAUUUCUGAGUCUAGAGAAGCCUUGGAGAUCUCGGCAGCUGCCUACAAAUCCCAGGCCUGACCAGCAUCAGAAGCAGGGGGACCCCUGAAAGGCUGACCACCUCCUUGUCUUGUGAAAGUACAGAUGACUUGCCAAAGCCACGCAUCUAAUUAUCAGCAGAACCAAGGUCUUUGGGCGCUAAGUUGCCAUUUUUGAGGAAAUGUUACAAAUAAGAGAGAACUGACCUGAUUUCGUCUAUUCCAGAAGGCAGAACUAAGAACAAAGGGUAGAAAUUACAAGUGAGGUUGAAGAGUCUUGGGGCUAUUCAGAAAUUCUUUAACUGAAAUGAAAUUAGCUCCUUAUGAAGUUAUCCAUAGCAACUUUUUCGCAGUCCUCCUUAGCUCUCCUUCCUAUCAGCAGAUAUCUUUCAACCCCUACUUUACUGAGAAGAUCAAGACCUUCUAACAUAAGUUCGCUCAAAAACUCAAAAUUUCUCUACAUCUCGAUAAAGAAUUUCCUUCCUUCCUUCCCUUUUGAGGUAUGUCCCUCCUUUUCCCCCAAGGCUGACAAUUCUGCUUUUUCCUGUUCAUGUUCAAAUCUAUUCCAUGCAGCCCCUUGAAUUACCACAUUUUAUUGCCAAACUUCUAAUGAAAGUAACCUCUACUCAAUCAAUCCAUAAACAUUUAUUAAGUGCCUACUUGAGGGAGAUGCUAAGGAUACAAAGAAUGAAAUCAUUUUUCUAUGCAAGGGACUUACAUGCUGUCAGCAAAGACAAGUAUAUAUAGAAAAAUAUGAAGAGAAAAAGAGAAGCACUCUGGGAAGGAAAGCACUAGCAAUCAGAGAAUCAGGAAAGCUUCAUCUGGUAGUGCAGACUGAAAGAGGUGGGUGUGAGUGAGAAGGGCGGGCACUACAGGCAGAGGGAAUGGCAAUUGCAAAGGCAGAAAGAUGGGAGGAGAGUUGUAGUGAAGUACCAAGAGAAAGUCAGUGGGGCUGGACUCCAGAAUGUAGGAAUAAUGUGAAAUGGGGAUGGAGAGAUUGGUUGUGGUCAGGUUGUGAAGAGUUUUGAAAACUUCAAAGAUGAAAUUAUAUUUGAUAUGAGAAG
Long non-coding RNA from Vombatus ursinus (common wombat), 1263 nucleotides. RefSeq lists it as uncharacterized. The transcript is spliced from 3 exons. The record is from RefSeq and is a predicted model, not a curated record. NCBI's taxonomy places the organism in Eukaryota, Metazoa, Chordata, Mammalia, Diprotodontia, Vombatidae.